This 264-nucleotide ribosomal RNA is filed under the name Listeria monocytogenes. RNAcentral's name for it is "partial 16S ribosomal RNA". It matches the Rfam family "Bacterial small subunit ribosomal RNA", at positions 212 to 475 of the family's 1533-position model. The record is from RNAcentral. Lineage: Bacteria; Bacillati; Bacillota; Bacilli; Caryophanales; Listeriaceae.
CUAUCGCUUACAGAUGGGCCCGCGGUGCAUUAGCUAGUUGGUAGGGUAAUGGCCUACCAAGGCAACGAUGCAUAGCCGACCUGAGAGGGUGAUCGGCCACACUGGGACUGAGACACGGCCCAGACUCCUACGGGAGGCAGCAGUAGGGAAUCUUCCGCAAUGGACGAAAGUCUGACGGAGCAACGCCGCGUGUAUGAAGAAGGUUUUCGGAUCGUAAAGUACUGUUGUUAGAGAAGAACAAGGAUAAGAGUAACUGCUUGUCCC